UUAACUUUUGUUACCACAAAA
This 21-nucleotide non-coding RNA is filed under the name Caenorhabditis elegans. The record is from RNAcentral. Lineage: Eukaryota; Metazoa; Nematoda; Chromadorea; Rhabditida; Rhabditidae.